UGGCUCAGUGGCAGAGCACUUGCCUUACAUGCAUGAGGCCCUGGGUUCGAUUCCUAA
RNAcentral lists this transfer RNA (57 nucleotides) under Dipodomys ordii (Ord's kangaroo rat). It matches the Rfam family "tRNA", at positions 8 to 63 of the family's 71-position model. From Rfam's summary of the family: Transfer RNA (tRNA) molecules are approximately 80 nucleotides in length. Their secondary structure includes four short double-helical elements and three loops (D, anti-codon, and T loops). The record is from Rfam by way of RNAcentral. Lineage: Eukaryota; Metazoa; Chordata; Mammalia; Rodentia; Heteromyidae.